GAUGAACGCUAGCGGGAGGCUUAACACAUGCAAGCCGAGGGGUAUAGUUCUUUCGGGAACUUUAGACCGGCUCACGGUUGCGUAACGCGUAUUCAACUUGCCCUACUGAAAAGGAUAGCCCUUCGAAAGGAGGAUUAAUACUUUAUAACAGAUUUAAUUGCAUCAUUAGAUUUUGAAAGAUUUAUUGCAGUAGGAUAGGCAUGCGUAAUAUUAGUUAGUUGGUGAGGUAACGGCUCACUAAGACGAUGAUUUUUAGGGGGCCUGAGAGGUUGAACCCCCACACUUGUACUGAGACACGGACCAGACUCCUACGGGAGGCAGCAGUGAGGACUAUUAGGUAAAGGCUGUAGGUCGGCUCCAGCCAGCCCGUGUGUAGGAUGUCGACGUUAUUGGUUGUAAACUCCUUUUAUCUGGGACUAAACGUAAUAACGUGUAAGUAGCUGACGGUACCAGAAGAAUAAGCACCGGCUAACUCCGUG
RNAcentral lists this ribosomal RNA (479 nucleotides) under uncultured bacterium. RNAcentral's name for it is "partial 16S ribosomal RNA". It matches the Rfam family "Bacterial small subunit ribosomal RNA", at positions 28 to 507 of the family's 1533-position model. The record is from RNAcentral.